Molecule: non-coding RNA, 72 nt
Organism: Ictidomys tridecemlineatus (thirteen-lined ground squirrel)
Lineage: Eukaryota; Metazoa; Chordata; Mammalia; Rodentia; Sciuridae
Source: Rfam
GGGGUUGUAGCUCAGUGGUAGAUCACUUGCUUUGCAUGCAUGAGGAACUGAGUUUGAAUCUCAGCAGCACAU